UUUGGGGAGGAACAGCACAGGAGUACACUGAUCUCUAUACAGUGCGUUGAAGAUCGAUAUGUCCCAUUGCUGGUGGCACCAACAUUGAUCUCUUGGGUAAGGUGGUGACCACCAGGUUUCUCCACUGGAAGGUCUUGGCCACUCCCAGGUUUGCCCAGAGCCAAGUGUUCAGGUGACCCAGGACCUGCAGGAGAAAUCACCAAGAAGAGGUUAUGUGCACAGAAAAUUCACACUGGAUGGGGCAAGCCAAGAUGAGUGACUAUCUGCUGUCUCCAGUGGUUCCCCAUGCUACACCUGAUUCUGUUUUCAGAGCCAUCUUCUUGGGAUAUUGGUUCUUCGCCUGAUUAUGUCUCAUCUGACAGGUCUCACUCCUUCUAAGCAACACCCUGCAGAGUGAUGCAUCUCUACCCAGAAAAGGUCCACUGAAGGAACCAGACGUUUCCACAGGAGAAAGGCACAGCAUGGAAUUACUAUACAGAGAAAUACAUGAGCCAUCAAGAAAUAAAGUGAGAAUGUGGAUGAGGCCCAUGAAGAAGCCAAUAUGCCAAACAGUGAGCACACCAGGUGUGUAUGUGUGACCAGAAAUGAAAACAGUUUCUGUGAAAGCACAUUUUAAAAUAGACAAGAACAGUUAGAAUAGUGUUCGCCACAAGUAAAUGACUUUUACUGAAACUUAUAACCUGAGAAAUAGGUAGAACAGGUGUUGUUCCCAGUUCAGAAAGGAGCAAAGAGUUGCCCAGGUAAUAAUCACACCAUGAGACAAGGUCUGGCUCUGUCACCCCGGCUGGAGUACAGUGGCACUAUCACAGCCACUGCAGCCUCAACCUCCUUGGCCCAAGCAAUCCUCCCACUUCAGCCUCCUGAGUAGCUGGGAUUACAGGCAUAUGAUACCAUGCCUGGCUAAUUUUUGUAUUUUUAGUAGAGAUGAGGUUUCACUAUGUUGGCCAUGCUGGUCUGAAACUCCUGGGCUCAAGCAGUCCUCCCACUUCUGCCUCCUAAAGUGCUGAAAUUACAGGUAUGAGUCACUACUCCCAGCUGACUUCUAGUGAGGAUCUUUUUUCUUUAGUGAAAUAAAUGCCUUUCAGGAAUUCUUCACAUUCAUGAAAGCCAAAUGCAAUGAGGAAGCCUUAAGUAGCUCCUUGAGUUAAAAAAAAUAUGCUAGAAUAGAAGAUGUUUGUACAAACUGGGAAAUGUGAAUGGACUAUAUAUUGGAUGGCAUUCUUGAGUUAGUGUCAAUGGUCUUCAUGCGAUGAUAGUGUUGUGACUAGGGAGGGGCCAUCCUUGUUCUUUGGAGAUGCUGGCUGGGGGACUUAGGCCAUAAGGAAAGAAGUGACCACAGAGGAAAGGAGGGUGAAGGCAUCAGGGGACCUAGCUGGUCUGCUCAGGACUCCACUCAGCCAGAUGGAAAACGCAGUUCUGAAUAUCUAUUGCUGUGUAAUAGAGCAGCCCAGAACAUGGAGCAUAAAAAACAACAAUUGCUUCUUUGCUCCAAGUCUGCGCUUCGGGCAGGUGCUCCUCUCUGGUCCUGUGGCAUCACCUCUGGUGCUCCAGUGCUGGGGGCUGAAAGGAGUCACUUGCUGUUGCCUGGGUUCCUGGGUUCUCUCCACAUGUCCUCUCCAUGUGGUGAGCUUGGGCUUCCUCACAGCAUGGUUGUCUCGGAGUAGUUGGCCUUCUUACGUGACAGCUGGCUUCCCCUAAAGUGCAAAAAUAGAAGCUGCCAGAACUUCACAGGGCUUAGGCCUAGAACCAGUGCUAUGUCACUUCUGCCACAGUCACAGAGCCAAGCCAGCUUCAAAGGAAUUAGAUACAAGGAGAGGCUUAUGGGGGUUGGGGGUCACUAAACAGACAGCUUACCACACACAGGGAUAAGGAGCUAUGGUUAGUGGAAAUUUACCGUAGGCCAACAUCCACAGGAACAGGGUACUUGAUAAGACCGUGUCUCAAAAUUAUUUGCUCAUUGGCCACAUCAAGGCACCUCAGUUGAAUGCAGUGAUCAAACCGUUCAAUGAAAAAUGGGGAAAACAAGAGUUUCCUUAUUACAGGACUACUCCAAGAAUUUAAGAAGCUCGCACACGUUGGGGGUAUAAUAAAGAAAGGACUCCCUAUUCAAUAAAUAAUGCUGGGAUAACUGGCUGGCCACAUGCAGAAGAUGGAAACUGGAUUCCUUCCUUACACCAUAAACAAAAAUCAACCCAAGAUGGAUUAAAGAGUUAAAUGUAAAACCUAAAUCUAUAAACACUCUGGAAGAUAUCCUAGAAAAUAUCAUUGUGAACAUAGGCCCCGGCAAAAGUUUCCUGAUGAAAAUGCCAAAAGCAAUUGCAACAAAAACAAAAAUUGACAACUGGGACUUAAUUAAACUAAAGAGCGUCUGCGCAGCCAAAAGAACUAUCAACAGAGUAAACAGACAACCUACAGAAUGGGAGACAGUAUUUGCAAACUAUGCAUCCAACAAAAGCCUAUUAUCCAUCAUCUACAGGGAACUUAUUAACAAUCAGAAAACAAAGAACCCCAUCAAAAACUGGGCAAAGGACAUGAACGCUUUUCAAAAGAAGACGUACAUGCAGACAACGAGCAUACGAAAAAAUGCUCUACACCACUAAUCAUUAGAGAAAUUCAAAUCAAAACCACAAUGUGAUACCAUCUCACACCAGUCAAAAUGACGAUUAUUAGAAAGUCAAAAAAUGGAGAGGUUGUGGAGAAAAGGGAACACUUAGACACUGCUGGUGGAAAUGUAAGUUAGUUCAGCCAUGUGGAAAGCAGUGUGGCAAUUUCUCAAAGAACUUAGAACUGCCAUUCGACCCAGCAAUCCCAUUAUUGGAUAUAUACCCAAAGGAAUAUAAAUCAUUCUACCAUAAAGACACAUGAACACGUAUGUUCAUCGCAGCACUAUUCACAAUAGCAAAGAACGAGAUCAUGUCCUUUGAAGCAACAUGGAUGGAGCUGGAAGCCAUUAUCCCAAAAAAACAAAUGCAGGAACAGAAAACCAAAUACUGCACGUUCUCACUUAUAAGUGGGAGCUAAAUGUUGAGUACACAUGGUAACAAAGAAGGGAACAACAGAUACUAGGGCCUACGUGAUGGUGGAGGGUGGGAGGAGGGAGAGGAUUGAAAAACUACCUAUUGGGUACUACGCUUAUUACCUCGGUGACAAAAUAAUCUGUACGCCAAACCCCCAGGACAUGCAAUUUACCCAUGUAUUUUAAUUCUAAAAUAAAAUAUUUUAAUUCUAAAUUCUAAAAUAAAAUAUCUUAAUUCUAAAACAAAAGUUAAAAAAGUAAAGCACUUGCCAAACCUAUCUGACUGCAGUGCACACUUUUUAAAAAAGACUAUCAUUUGAGACUUUAGGAUUAUAAAGACUCCAGUUUGGAUUCUUAUCCUCCAAGACAUGGAGGAUGAGUUUCUCAUUAGAUCAUAGUCCUGGGUUUUCUACUGUCUGUCCUCAGUUUCAGCACGUUCCUGCUCACUGAUUCUCAUGAUGUAUGUUGAUGGUCUCUCUUCUCUCUCAUCCUCCCAAGGGGAUUUGCUGAGGUUCAAUGUUAUUACAAGGUGAGAAUGUGAACCUCAGGAGCCUAAUAUGAGCUCCCUUGGUAUGAGAAAAUUCUCACUGCUCACAGGUAAAAAUAAUAUCCUGGUCACACACUUCCCUUGGCACACCCAUGCCCAGAAUGACUGAACCCCCAAUUGUGCACGAGCUGAACUCUUGCUGGACCUUCGAGACUCAGCCCAAAGCUUACUUCCUUAUCUAAGCCUAACAGGAACCACUCAUAGGCAGUCUAUCCGAUCCAAGUGCGUUUCCAUGGAAUAGUAAAAACAAUGCUGUCAGCUAAUAACUGUUGGGUACUUACUAUGUAUAUGACACUGUGUUGAGUACUGCGAUUUGAAUGUAGAUUUGUCCAACUCCUGAACCAGACUGUUUAACCAUUGCAUGGUCUGGCCUCUCCUGAGCUGUUCCCGUCAAUAUUUAGCACAUAGCAUUGUGUGACAAAGACUGCCAGUUUUCCACCAAAAUUCACAUUGCUCUUCUUCCUGAGAAUAUGGCUGCCCAGGUGGUGAAUGUUUCCUGACCUACCCCAUGGCUAGGUGUGGCCAAGUAGCCAAGCAUUCACCCAUGGAACUGGAGAAAUUCCCAUGGCCCUCCUUAAAAGGACAUCUCUUUCCUAGGACUUCCACACUCUCUCCCUUCUCCAGUGCCUGGAACUUGCUUGGCCAUGCAGACCAGGAUGGUCCCCUGGGGUUGGUGGAGGGAUGAAAUGGAAUGAAAUGGAAGGGCUUCAGAACGUGCGGAGCAGAGCCACCUGCCAAGCUGGAGGCUGUUAACGAAUGAGAGCAAAAUGAACUUCCCUGUUCUCUGAGCCACUGUAUUUUGGGGCCUGUUUGUCACAGCAGCUGAGACAUUGCCCUAAACAAUUCACCUUGAGAUGAUCUGGUUUUUCCCUACAAGACAAUGAAGUCCUUGAAGUCAGGGAUCAUGCCAAACUCAUUUCUCCAUGUAUCCAGCCUGGCAUGGUGGCUGGAUCACAGCAAGUAUUCCCCAGUGAUGCUCCUGUUGAAUGUGUGAAUAAAUAAAGUGCUACUUCUUAUGUUGCUGCAAAAAUCCCAAUGAGAAAUGUGUGUGCAUUGAGACUAGAUGCAGGUAUAUCUGAACAGAGAGAAAGACUGGUCCUCGGUGAGAAUUGGGACCAGGAGGCAAGACUGACAGCAUUCCCAGGGGACUGGAGGGAGAGAUGCAUCCGAUUUCGGUUGAUUUCAUACAGUGGCAAUGAGUGUGCUCGCAAAUGCCAGGAAGGCUUGGCCAGUGGCACCCUGUGUACACCAUUUCAUGAACUACUGUGGUGAUUAAACCGCAGGGUGCUCCAGAGAGGCUUUCUAGCUUUUUUCCCUGGCACAUCCCCUCGCUUGAGUAAUGCCCGGCUUUAACUUUAGGAAGGCAGAAGAUGGCAGUCGGGCUGUCUGUCAGUGUCAUCAUGUGUCAUCAUCUUUGGGCUGCCAGUGGGACAGCUGGGGAAGAGCAGGAUCAAGUUGACUGGCAGAGGGUUUUACAUCUAAUGAGUUUGUGUGUAGUAAUAGUGUAAUAAAUAAGGCUCUGGAG
Molecule: long non-coding RNA, 5088 nt
Filed under: Homo sapiens (human)
Lineage: Eukaryota; Metazoa; Chordata; Mammalia; Primates; Hominidae
Description: HSALNT0265287
Source: RNAcentral